UACGAAGGGUGCAAACGUUGCUCGGAAUUAUUGGGCGUAAAGCGCACGUAGGCGGCUAUCUAAGUCGGAUGUGAAAUCCCUCGGCUUAACCAAGGAAGUGCAUCCGAAACUGGAUAGCUUGAGUACAGAAGAGGAUCGCGGAAUUCCCGGUGUAGAGGUGAAAUUCGUAGAUAUCGGGAGGAACACCAGUGGCGAAGGCGGCGAUCUGGGCUGAUACUGACGCUGAGGUGCGAAAGCGUGGGGAGCAAACAGG
Molecule: ribosomal RNA, 253 nt
Filed under: uncultured bacterium
Lineage: Bacteria
Description: partial 16S ribosomal RNA
Rfam family: Bacterial small subunit ribosomal RNA
Source: RNAcentral